GACGAACGCUGGCGGUGUGCUUAACACAUGCAAGUCGAACGGUAAGGCCCUUUCGGGGGUACACGAGUGGCGAACGGGUGCGUAACACGUGAGUAACCUGCCCUCAUCUCUGGGAUAACAGUCGGAAACGGUUGCUAAUUCUGGUUAUGCGCUUGCCAGGCAUCUUGUGGGUUGGAAAGAUUUUUUUUGGUUGGGGGUGGACUCGCGGCCUAUCAGCUUGUUGGUGUGGUAGUGGCUCAGCAAGGCUUCGACGGGUAGCCGGCCUGAGAGGGCGAACGGACACAUUGGGACUGAGAGACGGGCCGAACUCGGACGGGAGGCAGCAGUGGGGAAUAUUGGACAAUGGAAGGAAGUCUGAUGCAGGAAGGCCGCGUGCGGGAUGAGGGCCUUCGGGUGGUAAGACGCUUUCAAGUGUGACGAAGCGUUUUUGUGACGGUAGCAGAAGAAGAAGCACCGGCUAACUACGUG
RNAcentral lists this ribosomal RNA (468 nucleotides) under uncultured bacterium. RNAcentral describes it as "partial 16S ribosomal RNA". It matches the Rfam family "Bacterial small subunit ribosomal RNA", at positions 28 to 507 of the family's 1533-position model. The record is from RNAcentral.